RNAcentral lists this ribosomal RNA (164 nucleotides) under Quercus coccifera. RNAcentral's name for it is "5.8S ribosomal RNA". It matches the Rfam family "5.8S ribosomal RNA". Rfam says of the family: 5.8S ribosomal RNA (5.8S rRNA) is a component of the large subunit of the eukaryotic ribosome. It is transcribed by RNA polymerase I as part of the 45S precursor that also contains 18S and 28S rRNA. The record is from RNAcentral. Lineage: Eukaryota; Viridiplantae; Streptophyta; Magnoliopsida; Fagales; Fagaceae.
AAAACGACUCUCGGCAACGGAUAUCUAGGCUCUCGCAUCGAUGAAGAACGUAGCGAAAUGCGAUACUUGGUGUGAAUUGCAGAAUCCCGCGAAUCAUCGAGUUUUUGAACGCAAGUUGUGCCCGAAGCCAUUCGGCCGAGGGCACGUCUGCCUGGGUGUCACGC